UCCCAACACUAACAUCAGCACAAUUGCCAACCUGUCCACCGUGUGUGUCAUGUGCACCAGACCUAGCCGAUCCGUCCACACUGACAUCGAUAACACGAAAAGCGGGUGACUCGACCAAACAAAAUGAAGGGGUAGACCUAAAUGUUGUGUUUCUUGCGAUAAAUUUUACAGUACUUGCUGCAAUUGUAGUGCUUCUUGUGUGGACAUGGAGAAAUCUGCGGAAAGGAACUAUUCCCGACCGAAGCAAUGAGAAUGAAUACAGAAGUGUGCAAUCAGAAGAAACAAGGGAGACCCCUGUUUGAGCAGUGGCAUUAUGGAUCUGAAGAAAAGCUUCAAGAAGUAUCAGCCAUCAUAUUACAUUUAGAUUUAAAGAGAGUUUAAGAAAGGUUUAUGCAAUACACACCUAUAUACAUGUUCUUUUUUUCUUCUCACUUUUUAGGGCUUUUAGUUUUGUGUUUGUUGUCCACACAUUUUAAAACAAAUCACUCGUUAGGCACAAACAGUAAAUAAAACAUUAAUCUAUAAACUUUUUUUCGCUUAAACUGAGGCUGAAUAAUUUCAUCAUUAUGAAACUGUAGCAGGGUUUAAAAAAAUAUGCUAUCAUGCACGAUUGAAAACUGCAAGGGGGAAGAUUAUUUACACUAUGUAUAUGCCUUUUUCAAAGUGCCUUUGGAAAAGUUUCUUGCUCAAAAACACUUCUUUGAUUAUAAGAAAAAACAUGUUUCGGGAAACAUAAUGCCUUCUUUAAGUGUGUGGUUUGGCAUGCACAGAAUCUAAUCACAUAAGUUGCAUUCUGUUCAUUUGUCAAAUGUGUGUUUUUUUACUAUAUUUUAUAUCUUAUUUAUACUAUUGGACUUUCCACUGUUGCAAUUUGUGAAAAACCAGCAGAUAGGCGGUACAAUAGAAACGCACCACAACUAUAAUGACAUGGUGCAUUAAAACAAUUAAUCGUUUUCUUCUCUAUCAGACAAAGCUUGAAUCACAAUGUUAAAGAAUGUAAAGCAAUCAUUAAAUCGUUUCUUUUUCACGUGGA
Molecule: long non-coding RNA, 1033 nt
Organism: Patiria miniata (bat star)
Lineage: Eukaryota; Metazoa; Echinodermata; Asteroidea; Valvatida; Asterinidae
Exons: 4
Source: RefSeq, a predicted model, not a curated record